GAUGAACGCUGGCGGCGUGCUUAACACAUGCAAGUCGAACGGAAAGGCCCAAGCUUGCUUGGGUACUCGAGUGGCGAACGGGUGAGUAACACGUGGGUGAUCUGCCCUGCACUUCGGGAUAAGCCUGGGAAACUGGGUCUAAUACCGGAUAGGACGAUGGUUUGGAUGCCAUUGUGGAAAGUUUUUUCGGUGUGGGAUGAGCUCGCGGCCUAUCAGCUUGUUGGUGGGGUAAUGGCCUACCAAGGCGUCGACGGGUAGCCGGCCUGAGAGGGUGUACGGCCACAUUGGGACUGAGAUGCGGCCCAGACUCCUACGGGAGGCAGGAGUGGGGAAUAUUGCACAAUGGGCGCAAGCCUGAUGCAGCGACGCCGCGUGGGGGAUGACGGCCUUCGGGUUGUAAACUCCUUUCGCUAGGGACGAAGCGUUUUUGUGACGGUACCUGGAGAAGAAGCACCGGCUAACUACGUG
RNAcentral lists this ribosomal RNA (468 nucleotides) under uncultured bacterium. RNAcentral describes it as "partial 16S ribosomal RNA". It matches the Rfam family "Bacterial small subunit ribosomal RNA", at positions 28 to 507 of the family's 1533-position model. The record is from RNAcentral.